UCUGCCACUCGCGCCCGACGCCCCUCGCCGUCAUCGUCGCGGUCACCGUCGUCUCCGGCGCGCGGGAGCACGUCCAGGAGGUCCGCCGCGGCCGGAUCCGUCCGUUCCGAGGGCCAGCUCAAGCCGGGACGGUCCGUGCGCUCGCCAUCGAGCCCUUCUCCGCCGCGGACGUCACCAACUCGUCGUCGUUGCCACUGCUUCGGGCCGCCUCCGACCUUCUAACCUCGUCCCUGAGAACCGGGGUGAGCUUCUCCCUCGGGACCCCCUUUUACUCCUUCGAUUUGGACGCCGUAGGCCGCCAUCUCCGUCGAGCCCGAACCACCACGUAUGCGUACGUGCGCGUGCUUGCUGUCGCUGUUCCCCGUGCUGUCUGCUGUCCGCUGCUGCUGUCCCGUGCUCGCCCGUCCCUGCUGCGUGUGCGUGCCUGCACUGCUGCUCCGUUUGCUGCUGCCGCUGGCUGCUGCUACUUUCUUGCUGUGCUGCUAUAAACUACUACCGCUGCUAGCUCUGCCUGUUGCCUCUACUACCGACGCUGCUGCUUACUACUCUACUGUGUAGCCGCCGCCGCUGCUCUAGCUGCUGCUGGACGCUAGGUUUGCUGCUCCUAGAUGCUGCUACUUGUUGCUGUUUAUGGACAUGGCCGUGACCAUGCCUAAGCAUGUGUGGUGUACGUGUGUGUACAGCCACCACUGGCCGGCCCGUAUGAAUUAGCUUAGGAGAUAAUUUCUAGUUAGUUUAAUUGCUAGCCAAUGACAAGUGGGCCCCCUAAUUAGAUUAGACAAAUCUGUUUAGAAAUUUAAUAAAAUUUUGACAUGUGGGACCCCACCAACGCUGUUCACUUUGACAAGUCAUUUUGACUUGGUAAAUUCGGUUUAAUUAAAUAUAAUAAUUCCAGUAAUUCCUAAAUAUUGGUAAAACUUAAAAAAAACAUAGAAAAAUAUCCGUAACUCGGAUGAAAAUACUUUAUACAUGAAAGUUGCUCAGAACGACGAGACGAAUCAGAAUAAGCAGUCCAUUCGUCUGCCACACGUCCCUAGCAUAGCAAACGUGCAACAUUCCCCCUCCGUUCGAGCUGUCUGCAAAUGCCAAACUUCGGGGAAACAUUCCUGGAUGUUCUCCCCCUUCGCCAGUAUCGUGUAGCACUGCGUUAGAACACCCCCUAGCACCGCUUAUUCUCAUGUCGUGCAUCUGUUUUCUUGUAUUUACUGUUUCUCCUUCCUAUUCUCUCCGGUAGACCCCAAGACCGUUGCUGAUGCCACUGUGGUCGACUACGUCGACGACGACCCUUCUUACCUUUCAUCGGAGCUUCCAGGCAAGCCCCCCCUUUGAUCAUCCCGAUAUCGUCCAUUCCAUUAUCUCAUGCUUGCAUUCGAUUUUGCUAUUGUUAUUGUUUGCUCCUAUUCUGAUGCAUAGCCUGCUUUUGUACCUGCUUAUUGUUACCUACUUGCCUAUCCUAAACUGCUUAGUAUAGGUUGGCUAGUUAUCUAUGAGUGACCCCCACAUGUCCUUGUUGCCCCUGCUUCGUCAUCGACGCCUCGAUCGACGUGAUCGACGACCAGAGCCUGACACCUCACAUCACAUCACGCCCCUUUAGUUGCUCGACUCUGCAGAGCUACUAUCGAGUGCCGAGGGUGAUCCCUCAUAAUGCACUCCUGAUGAUAAUUUUGUAGUGUAUCUAUUCGGUCAUGGUCAUCGAGGGUGAUUUCCUCUUUCACCAUUCCCGAUACGGCUCUGUCGUUCAACACCUCAAGUGUGAACCUCGAGGGUGGUCCCUCUUACGUUCACCUUGAUGAUUACAUUGAGUGGAAUCCACCGGGGGUGAUUCCUCGGGUUUUCCACUUGAUGUCUGGACGCACAGUUACCUUGACUUUACUUGAGACCUUGGUGAAAGUCGGGCGGGCCCGGAGAGCACCCGCAAGAUAAUGACGUCGCACGGCCGGGCAUUCUAGGCCCUUGUCGUAAGUCCACGAGACGGGACGACGGGGUCACUUUCGAUCGUGAGUCUCUGCUCGUCUCCGCAAGCUAAUAAUACACUAUGGUUUGGAUAUUUGUUCUGAGUUGGCCUUUGGCCUUUAUGCACUAACCACCAUGCGAGAAUAAUUAUGGGCCUCGACGUUGCAGUAUCAGCCGAAGUUUUGUCAGACGUCCAGUUCAGCAUUGUGGCCGGGCCGGAUCGUGCCAUCCACUUCACGGGUGGUGCUGGUAUCCCCUUGCGCACAAUGACCUGGAGUGCAACAGGCGAUUGGCCCAGACCCUGGAGUGCUUAGGAUGUAGACCGACGGGGACCUCUCUGCUAAGCCUAGGUAGGGCUGCGACGUGUUGAUCUUUCAAGGCCGGGCAUUGACCCCAGAAAGGUGUGUCCGGCCAGAGUGAUCGAGCGUGUUGGGUAACGUGGUGCACCCCUGCAAGGAAGACAUAUAUUCGAAUACCGUGUCCACAGUAAUGGACGUUCAGACUUGUAUCCUGGUCUUAUACAACUACAAAUGGACACUUCAAUAUGUGGCUCCGGGAUUGCUUUCUCGCAGGGAGUCGAGGAAGGAUCUCUGGGCAUUAAUGUUACAACAUGUUUGUUAAUUAAACUGCUAUUCUUUACUCUUCUACAUGCUGCAAGAUGCUUGGAGCUACUUGAAGAUGCUAGUCUUCGAUAGCCUAGGCAUCCCCCCUCUAUUCUGGCAUUCUGCAGUUCAGUCCACAGAUACAACCCUUCCAUUUGAUACCAAUGCAUACUUAGUAUAGAUCUGAUGCUUGCGAGUACUUUGGAUGAGUACUCACGGUUGCUUUGCUACCCCUUUUCCCCCUUCUUUCUUCUUUCCGGUUGACGCAACCAGAUGGUGGAUCCCUGGAGCCA
RNAcentral lists this long non-coding RNA (2848 nucleotides) under Triticum aestivum (bread wheat). RNAcentral describes it as "long non-coding RNA (TAES_LNC002592)". Lineage: Eukaryota; Viridiplantae; Streptophyta; Magnoliopsida; Poales; Poaceae. The record is from RNAcentral.